This 2118-nucleotide long non-coding RNA is filed under the name Nicotiana benthamiana. RNAcentral's name for it is "long non-coding RNA (NBEN_LNC009717)". Lineage: Eukaryota; Viridiplantae; Streptophyta; Magnoliopsida; Solanales; Solanaceae. The record is from RNAcentral.
UUUUCCCUUAGAUAUUUCUGUCUCUGAAACUUUUUCACAAUCAUUUCUAUGUUUUAUACUCGAAUAAUAUGAUGAUUAAUUUACUCAUUUCUCAAUUUACCGUAGUCCAUACUUUCUUUUCAAAAUUCUUCUACAUUAGACUACUUUUCUGAAACCACUUUUUUUGUAAAUCACUCGUUUAAAAUACCUUAAUUUCUGACAAUUGGAUCCAAGUUGCAUAAUGCGGACUUUCUAUCUAAAUAUAUGUGUUUAACCACUGCGUUCACUGUUUAAGUUUAAUUUAAAGACUAAAUCAGUAUGUGCCAGGACAUGCUAAAGUAAGUGUUGAUUAAUUAAGGGGUUUACUUGAGAAUUACCAAUUUGUUUUAUUCAUCACCAUAUUUGUUACUUGUUUGUAUGUCGCAAUUUGAAUUUUAUCCUCUAAACUCUAUAUGCCUAUAUCCCUUUUCCUUCCCUUUUAGGAUUAGAACUCCUGAUAUCCCGGGACUGAAAGGUAGGGACGGGUACUAGCAUGCAAUAAGUAAAUGAGACUAAUCGCGUUUACCUUAACGGGUGGGAACGGUAGAAUAUGGAUAUGAUGACCGAUGCGCUAAUAUCACGUACGAACCCUCUUUUAAGGAUUGAUUGCUGCAUAUUAAAUUGAUGUGAUCCAUGUUUUGCAUUAACCUAGGAACCCUUUCCCUUUUUUCUUGCAAAUAUUUUCUUUAAAUUAUGUUUUUCUCCAAAUAAUCCUUUUCCGCGAUUUCUAUUCCUUUCUGAUCUUUAAGCUUUCAAACUUAUUUGUGAUUCUAUGUACAAACUUUAUUUGCUUCUUCUAUUUUCUUAAUGUCACAAUUAUACCAUGGCUGAGAACCACACUGGUGGAUCUUGAGGGGUGCCUAACACCUUCCCCUCAAGAUAAUCUCUAAGCCCUUACCAGAACUCUGGUUUUCCUUCUUCUCAAAAUUCUUCAUCUCUUUAAAAGUGUCGUAAUGCACUAUAAUCAUUAGGUGGCAACUCUCUAAAACUCCAAAACCCAAUUCUGAUGAGAGAAUAAAGAGUUUUCUUCACAUAACGUUGUGUACCCGAUUUUCGGACUUCCCGGUCCACAAUAUGGAAAAGCGGGGCGUCGACAACAUGGAGACUCUACUGUGAUUUCUUUAGGCUUUCUACCAUAACAUGCUUUUUUUCAUCUUAUUGAUUCAUUAAUUGCCUUUAUUUUCUGCCUUUAAUUAUAUCAUCACGACACUAACUUGGCUCUGUCUUUUCUUUCCUUCAAUUGUUUUCCUUUACUGCUUCAUUAUUUCAAUACCAUUGUAGUUUUUUGAGCAUUUAUUGCAAUCAUUUAUCUUAUGUACGUGAAAAUACAUGAAAAUUAUGUUUCAUUCUUGUAAUUGCAUCUUCAACAUUAUACUUCAGUCGUGCCAAAACAAAUACUAUAGCAAUGCUUAUAAUGAGUGGUUGCUCUCUUCUAAUAUUAUCACCCCCAUAAAGGCAUAUUUACGGCAAAACCAGUCGAUCAACAGUGUAGUCGACGGUUCCUCGCCUAUACCUCUUGAGUUGUCCACUUAAUGCAUCAUUAUCAAACCUAGCGGGUCAGUUAUGGUGUCCGCAUAAUGACUUAUUAAGAUAGCCUAGUCCAAUGUCCAUCGGGUUUCCCUUGAAACCGAAACGGACACCUUCAUUUUUUGUGCAUUUAUUUGGAGAACUAAAUGCCUUUAUGCUAAUUGUUGAUCGAAAUAGUCGAGUCUGGUCUAAACUUUUAUUUUGCAGAGAAUGAGGCAUGAAAUCCCUAGAUUCGGUAUGGUAACUAUCAUUCACCCAAGGCUGCUAAGCUGGUGGGAGGACCUUUAUGCCAGCGAUCAAACCCUUGUCCGCAAAUACUCAGGAAAUCUACCUUCACUUCUAGAGGUCGGGCCUGACAACAAAAUAGAGGCUGCAACUUUGUUCUGGGAUUGUGAUCGUUCUAUGUUUCGCUUUGGGGAUUUUGGAAUGACCCAUUUACUGGAAGAAAUAGGAGGUCUAGCCGAUAUUCCUUGGGAGACUCCGGGUCUACAUUGUAAGGCCUCGUGAAAAAGAGUGGUCAGAUGUUAGCAGCUCAUAGAGUCGAGUCUACCCGCACGGAUCGGAUUCUUUUUA